AACGAACGCUGGCGGCAUGCCUAACACAUGCAAGUCGAACGAGACCUUCGGGUCUAGUGGCGCACGGGUGCGUAACGCGUGGGAACCUGCCCUUAGGUUCGGAAUACCUCCCCGAAAGGGGUGCUAAUACAGGAUAAUGUCUUCGGACCAAAGAUUUAUCGCCUUUGGAUGGGCCCGCGUUGGAUUAGCUAGUUGGUAGGGUAAAAGCCUACCAAGGCGACGAUCCAUAGCUGGUCUGAGAGGAUGAUCAGCCACACUGGGACUGGGACACGGCCCAGACGCCUACGAGAGGCAGCAGUGGGGAAUAUUGGACAAGGGGCGAAAGCCUGAUCCAGCAAGGCCGGGUGAGUGAUGAAGGCCUUAGGGUUGUAAAGCUCUUUUACCCGGGAUGAUAAGGACAGGACCGGGAGAAUAAGCUCCGGCUAACUCCGU
This 432-nucleotide ribosomal RNA is filed under the name uncultured bacterium. RNAcentral's name for it is "partial 16S ribosomal RNA". It matches the Rfam family "Bacterial small subunit ribosomal RNA", at positions 29 to 506 of the family's 1533-position model. The record is from RNAcentral.